RNAcentral lists this ribosomal RNA (899 nucleotides) under Scolecobasidium cordanae. RNAcentral describes it as "LSU rRNA". It matches the Rfam family "Eukaryotic large subunit ribosomal RNA", at positions 34 to 951 of the family's 3401-position model. The record is from RNAcentral. Lineage: Eukaryota; Fungi; Ascomycota; Dothideomycetes; Venturiales; Sympoventuriaceae.
UUAAGCAUAUCAUAAGCGGAGGAAAAGAAACCAACAGGGAUUGCCUCAGUAACGGCGAGUGAAGCGGCAACAGCUCAAAUUUGAAAUCUGGGGCCUUCGGCUCCCGAGUUGUAAUUUGUAGAGGAUGCCUCGGGGGGUGCUUCGGCCCAAGUUCCUUGGAACAGGAUACCACAGAGGGUGAGAGUCCCGUAUCCGGCCGGCAGUACCCUCCGCGCGAGGCUCCUUCGACGAGUCGAGUUGUUUGGGAAUGCAGCUCUAAGCGGGUGGUAAAUUCCAUCUAAAGCUAAAUACUGGCCAGAGACCGAUAGCGAACAAGUAGAGUGAUCGAAAGAUGAAAAGCACUUUGAAAAGAGAGUCAAACAGUACGUGAAAUUGUUGAAAGGGAAGCGUAUGGGGGCAGACUUGGCCGCGGGGUUCAGGGUGUCUUUUGGCGCCUGUACUUCCCCGUGGGCAGGCCAGCAUCGGUUUUGGGGGUUGGAUAAAGGCGUCGGGAAUGUGGCUCCCCUCGGGGAGUGUUAUAGCCCGUCGCGCAAUGCAGCCACCCGGGAUCGAGGACCGCGCUUCGGCAUGGAUGCUGGCGUAAUGGCCUCAUUCGCCCCGUCUUGAAACACGGACCCAGGAGUCUAACAUCUAUGCGAGUGUUUGGGUGUCAAGCCCGAGCGCGCAAUGAAAGUGAACGGAGGUGGGAGCCCGUAAAAAGGCGCAUCAUCGACCGAUCCUGAUGUCUUCUGAGGGAUUUGAGUAAGAGCAUAGCUGUUGGGACCCGAAAGAUGGUGAACUAUGCGUGAAUAGGGUGAAGCCAGAGGAAACUCUGGUGGAGGCUCGCAGCGGUUCUGACGUGCAAAUCGAUCGUCAAAUUUGCGUAUAGGGGCGACAGACUAAUCGAACCAUCUAGUAGC